AGAAGUUUAGGUUAUAUAGACCAGGAGCCUUCAAAGCCCCAAGAAAAUAUUAUUAAUUUAACUUCUG
Molecule: transfer RNA, 67 nt
Filed under: Hypsugo alaschanicus (Alashanian pipistrelle)
Lineage: Eukaryota; Metazoa; Chordata; Mammalia; Chiroptera; Vespertilionidae
Description: tRNA-Trp
Source: RNAcentral